UAAACGGGAGCACGGGAGCAUCCUGGUGGUUAAUGGCGAACGGGUGAGUAAUAUAUCGGAACGUGCCCAGUCGUGGGGGAUAACGCAGCGAAAGCUGUGCUAAUACCGCAUACGAUCUACGGAUGAAAGCGGGGGAUCGCAAGACCUCGGCGCGAUUGGAGCGGCCGAUAUCAGAUUAGCUAGUUGGUGGGGUAAAGGCCCACCAAGGCGACGAUCUGUAGCUGGUCUGAGAGGACGACCAGCCACACUGGAACUGAGACACGGUCCAGACUCCUACGGGAGGCAGCAGUGGGGAAUUUUGGACAAUGGGCGCAAGCCUGAUCCAGCAAUGCCGCGUGCAGGAUGAAGGCCUUCGGGUUGUAAACUGCUUUUGUACGGAACGAAACGGUGAGCUCUAAUAAAGUUUGCUAAUGACGGUACCGUAAGAAUAAGCACCGGCUAACUACGUGCCAGCAGCCGCGGUAAUACGUAGGGUGCGAGCGUUAAUCGGAAUUACUGGGCGUAAAGCGUGCGCAGGCGGUUAUGUAAGACAGAUGUGAAAUCCCCGGGCUCAACCUGGGACCUGCAUUUGUGACUGCAUAGCUUAGAAGUACGGUAGAGCGGGGAUGGAAAAUUCCGCGUGUAGACAGUGAAAAUGCGUAGAUAUGCGGAGGAACACCGAUUUGCGGAAAGGCAAUUCCCUCUCUGACUUGUUACCUGAAGCUCACUGCAACAAAACUUUGGGGCGACCACACACAGGGCUUUUUAGAUUCCACCUUGGUCCUCACACGCCCUAAAAGAAUGUCAACCCGGUUGGUUGGGGU
Molecule: ribosomal RNA, 803 nt
Filed under: uncultured beta proteobacterium
Lineage: Bacteria; Pseudomonadati; Pseudomonadota; Betaproteobacteria
Description: bacterial SSU rRNA
Rfam family: Bacterial small subunit ribosomal RNA
Source: RNAcentral